This 67-nucleotide transfer RNA is filed under the name Lophopotamon yenyuanense. RNAcentral's name for it is "tRNA-Ser". Lineage: Eukaryota; Metazoa; Arthropoda; Malacostraca; Decapoda; Potamidae. The record is from RNAcentral.
GGUUAUUUAGUUUAAAAAAAACAAAUGUUUUGAAAACAUUAGAUAAAUAUAUAAAUUUUAAUAACUA